ACCAGACUCCUACGGGAGGCAGCAGUGGGGGAUAUUGCACAAUGGGGGGAACCCUGAUGCAGCGACGCCGCGUGGGUGAAGGAGCGUUUCGGCGCGUAAAGCCCUAUCGGCAGGGAAGAAGGAGGACGGUACCUGACUAAGAAGCCCCGGCCAACUACGUGCCAGCAGCCGCGGGAAUACGUAGGGAGCAAGCGUUGUCCGGAAUUACUGGGCGUAAAGGGCGCGUAGGUGGGCGCUUAAGUCAGGUGUGAAAGCUCCGGGCUCAACCUGGAGACUGCACUUGAAACUGGGUGUCUUGAGGGCAGGAGAGGAAAGUGGAAUUCCUAGUGUAGCGGUGAAAUGCGUAGAUAUUAGGAGGAACACCAGUGGCGAAGGCGACUUUCUGGACUGUACCUGACGCUGAGGCGCGAAAGCGUGGGUAGCGAACGGGAUUAGAUACCCCUGUA
This 446-nucleotide ribosomal RNA is filed under the name uncultured bacterium. RNAcentral's name for it is "bacterial SSU rRNA". It matches the Rfam family "Bacterial small subunit ribosomal RNA", at positions 330 to 792 of the family's 1533-position model. The record is from RNAcentral.